Molecule: transfer RNA, 71 nt
Filed under: Eopsetta jordani (Petrale sole)
Lineage: Eukaryota; Metazoa; Chordata; Actinopteri; Pleuronectiformes; Pleuronectidae
Description: tRNA-Thr
Rfam family: tRNA
About the family: Transfer RNA (tRNA) molecules are approximately 80 nucleotides in length.
Source: RNAcentral
GCAUUAGUAGCUCAGUAUAGAGCAUUGGUCUUGUAAACCAAAGGUCGGAGGCUUAAUCCCUCCCUACUGCU